Molecule: long non-coding RNA, 5250 nt
Organism: Diabrotica virgifera virgifera (western corn rootworm)
Lineage: Eukaryota; Metazoa; Arthropoda; Insecta; Coleoptera; Chrysomelidae
Exons: 2
Source: RefSeq, a predicted model, not a curated record
UUGGGCAGUCAUCUGUCAUUUUUUUCUUCUUUUUUGGCUGUCAUGUGUCAUUUGUGAGCAAAUAAUUUAGUAGAAUUUUUGGUAGAUUUUAUCCUCAAUCUAGUAGAAUUUGGUAGGUUUUAUAUAUAAAUCUAGUAGAAAACGAGGUUCGGUCGUUGGCAACCCUGAAGAUGAGUUCACGUGUCAUUUAGUAGAUGGCAGCAGUGAUGUAUUAAAUGAGACACGGUUAAACACAGUAUAGGCACAGCAUAGAAAACGCAACAGCAGUGACACACUAGUAGGCGGGAAAAGUUCGCGCACUAUUACAGCGCAGAUCGUCGGCCAUUUUGUGCGUAGUACCAGACAAUGUAGAAAAUCGACAGUGUUGCCGAUUUGUACAUAAUUAUCAGAUUUACUUAACUUUUAUGACAUUCAUAUUUUUAACAUAAUUUUAUACGUAUGCCUGUGGGAAUUAUGUCAAUAAUUGGGACAUAACACCAAAUAUUGACGAUGAAUGGCGAUUGUAUUGUUAAUCUUUUGCAUAAAUUCCAGAAAUUAUUCAAAAAGAAUCUCUCACGGGUAAUAAAGUUGGUGACAUCGGCAACACUGAUGAACCAACACAUCACAUCACCACUGAGAUGUACUACGCGAAAAACGGCGACCCUGUACUUUUCAACUUCAAAGGCGGCAUCAGGGAGUGUCCUUGCUGGUUUCGUUUAUUAUGCUGUGGUAUAGGUAAUAGGUAUUUAGUCCAUUCCGAAGUUGUAGUUUGUUUUGACAUUUCCGCAGGGUUGCCAAUUUAGUAGAUUUUCUACUAGAUCUAGUAGAAUUUCUUGUGAUUUAGUGGGAAAAUUUUAAAUCUAGUAGAUUUUAGAAUCUGGUAGAAAAUAUAGUAGAUUUUAGUAGGUUUUGGUUGUAAGAAAGGAAUCUUUUAUUUUGACAAAUGACAAUGACAUUAAAUAUUUUUAUUUUUGUAAAAAAUUAUAAAAAUAACCUCUAAAAUGUGCUAAAAUUCUAUUUUUGUUACGUUACCUGUAAUAUAUAUAAAAAGUAAAAAGAUCAUGAAAAAGAGUAAAACGUUGAAUUUAAUUAGUAUUUUGUCAUUUAAAGAGUAAGAUAACCCAUAAUACUCAUCCUACAAUAUUAUGGAAGUGCAUUUAGAAAAAGUACUCUAUUUUAGGAGUUGUCAAAUACUUUUGCAUAUUAUGGAUUAUGGGCACAUAAAAUGGGGAAUUUAUGGACAAUGUAUUGUUAGGGAAUAUCCAGUUCUCAACUACCUAUUAAUGACACCAUAGCAGAAUCUUCGACAGCAGUUGAAGUGCAUUUUAAUCAAUCAUAAAUUGCUUCAAUUGUUAUUGAAAGAAGGUUUGGUAUUUUAAAGAGAUUUUUCGUAUUAAUGUGUGAACUGAGAUGCAAUGCAACAUACCUUUUGUUCCAAUAAUAGCAGCUUUACAAAUAUUGCAGUUGUUUAGAGAAAACAUUGAAAUAUUGGCAACUAAGCCUGCGGUUAUUAAUUCAAACAAACUGUGGCAGUACAUUUAUACAUUUUUAACCAGGAGAAAGUCUAGUGCAACUUUUUGUGUAGUGUGUGUUUGUUUGUUUUAAAAUGUUGCCAUUUAAGGCAAAUACAGUAAAACCUCCGUUAACCGAAACCUUUUUAACCAAAACAUCGUUUAACCGAAAUGGCUCACAGUUUCAAUAAUUUUGUCAAUAUAAAGGAAAUUAAUCAAAAAGCAAUAAAAUCAAGGAAAAUGAACAUGUUUAGAGUAUUUUUUAAAGAAUUCUUCUUCUAUUUUCUUUUGUGUUUCCCUUUGACAAUGAUGUUUUGUAGCUAUAUCUCUCCAAUACUAUGUAAUCUGAUAAAAGAAGAGUACAAAAACAAUGUCAUUUUUAACUGAAAUUCUUGUUAUUUAAAACAGCAUAUCCCCAAUUAUUUUGGUUAACGGAGGUUUUACUGUAAAUGGCUAAUGUUGAUAAUAUAUUAUUUUUCUUGGACUGCAGUUUGUUAAUAAAUUUAUAAAUACAUAGGUACAUGAUAUUGGUGUUUGAUUUGAAGUAUCAUUUAAAGUAUGCUAUAUCACAUUCCGUUAAAAGAACUUCCACAGCUAGCAAAAAUGUAUGAAUAAACAAAUUGUUUUAAAGGACAAAAAAAUAAUAAGUAAAGGAAUUGGAUUUAUGGUGUUUUUUUAUAGCACAUUUAAAUAAACAAAUGCUGAUGGCAUGCAAAUGAAAGUGUAAUACUUUUGGUCUUAGUUCAAAACUUUAUAGAUUCUAAUGCAUAAAGUAUUAAAAUUUAAAAAAUAAAUACUUAAACCUUAUUUGUUUUAUUGUAUUAACCUGUUUAUAUUGUUAAUACCAUUUAUGUUAUAUAUCUGUUGUAUUAAACUCCUACUUUUGAAUCCAGCAUUUUAACAAAUUCUAAACUUUUCCACAAUGUCUCGUCUCAAUAAUGAUAUUUGUGCAUUCAAAUUAAUUUACAUUGCAUCUUAAAUACCUUAGAUUGCAUAUCAACCAAAGGAUAACAUGGAACAAACACCUCCAAAUGAAAUGCAGGCAGUUGGAUCUCAAGUUCAGACAAAUGUACUGGCUCCUUGGUAGGAUAUCCAAAUUGUCAUUAAAUAACAAAUUACUACUAUACAAAGCCAUGUUGAAAUCAAUUAGGAUGUAUGGUAUCCAUCUCUGGGAUUGUGCUAAAUUAACACACAUCACAACCAUACAGAGAUUUCAAUCAAAAGUCUUUAGACCAAUUACUGGCGCACCCUGGUAUGUCAGUAAUCUCACAAUGAUCUGAAUAUUCCCUUCGUAAUACAUGAAAUACAGCGUAAAGUGACCAACCAUGAAAGUCGAACAAGAAACCAAGACAACGAACUGAUCAAACAUAUCUACCAAUGGACGAAUACACAGAAGACUCAAGCGAACGUGGCUACAAGAUUUAAUAAAACAGUGAAAUAAACCUAUAAGACGAAGCAUCAUUGGAUGCUCCUCCUUCCUUGCUUAAAAUUUCAUUCAAACUUACUUAAAACUUUUAAGAAAUUGAUUGUAAAUAAAAGUUCAUAAGGAGAAAAAAAUAUAUACAAAUGUUAUUUUAAUUCCGAUAUACCUACCUUUAAAAACAUUACAAAAGACAGCAAACAUACCAUUGUAGGUUUAGAAUUAGAGGAAAUUGAAAAUAUUUUAAGUAGUUGAGUAAAUGUUGUUUAAGUAAAUGAAUUUUGUACAAAAUAUACGAUUUGAUAUUUUUUGCCUAGAACUUAUAGUUGUCUUUUACAUGUUUACAUAUGGAUGCCUCAGAAGUCAAACGGUGUAAGUCACAUUCUCCCUAAAAAUGACUUAUGCGAUACAACACUUAUAAUAUAAUAUUAUUAUUUCCUUGUUUGUAUUUAUGAAUAUGUUACCCAUAUUAUAAUAGAUAGAGACACUUUAUUUCAUUUUAAUAACUACUUAUCCUUUCAGUUAAAUACAACUUAUUUUUACCUAUUUCUUCUUGGAGAGGAUAUUUUUGUGAUAUCUGCAAUCAGAUGAAAUUGCCAAUGCUUGCAGACUUGCAACAUUUUAUCAAUAGGGGUUUAUUGAGAGUUAGAAAUGAACUGUAAUGCACUAUUUUUACUGGAAAUAAGCUAUAAUUUUAUAUUAAAAUCAGUUUACAAUUCAAAACGUUAAACUAACUUAGUUUUGAAGUAAAAUUUUUGAUAGUAAACUGUGUUAAGCACAAGAAAGUGACGUUAAAAAAAUUAAAUGUACAAAAUGUAUUAGAAUUUAAAAAAAAAGGGUAGUUCUUAAUCAAUGGUAUUAGUUAAAUCAACUUGUUUCUCUUGUUUUCACCACUUUCUCCUAGAGAGGAUAUACUUUUCUAUUCGCUCCGAGCGUUAACAAAGUGUCAAAGCAAAAUCGACCGACCUGCUCAUGGUGGCGGUUUUUUGAAAUUUUAUAAGGACGCUUUGUGUAUGUUUAAAUGAGACAUUUAAAAAAAAUGUCGUGUCACGCUAGUGAUAUUAUGUAUUAAUAUAAACAGAAAAUAAAAACGCACUAUAAAUUCUUCACUUUCCAAUAUUGAUUAUCAGUUUGAUUUUGUAUGCAUAACCUCACUAUCGCAGUUUAUGUCAAUAAAUAUUUAUUAACGAAAAAGAAAAUAUUUUGUUGCACUAUAAAUUACAGUAUAAAUUAAUAACUAAUGAAUUCUAACAAUUGUAUUCGGUUAUUAUCACUACAAAAUAAAAUAUUCAAGUUUAACAAAAUAAUCCCAUAAGACUCAAUGUUAAAACGUCCUUACAAAAUCUGACAGCGUAUCACGUGACUGUACGUAGAGGGGAGACGCACGGAGCCAAUAGAAUAAGUAUUUAACAUUUUUUUAAUUAUUUUUUAGAAGUUUCAAUUAUGUUGUUUAUGUGUGGUUUAUGUAAAUAUAAAAAUUAUUAUAUUUUAAAUAAACAUGGUUUUUGUUGUUUUUAACAUAUAAUAACCUGUCAUCUGUCAUUUCUUCUUCUUUUUAGCUGUCAUCUGUCAUUUCUUCUUCUUUUUUGGGCUGUCAUAUGUCAUUUCUUCUUCUUUUUUGGCUGUCAAGUGUCAUUUUGUGAGCAAAUAAUUUAGUAGCAUUUUUGGUAGAUUUUAUCCUCCAUCUAGUAGAAUUUAGUAGAUUUUAUACCUAAAUCUAGUAGAAAACGACGUUCGGUCGUUGGCAACCCUGCAUUUCCGUUUUAUUUAACCUAACCUAUGUUUUGUUGUUUGGUUGUAUACAAGGAGUUAUAUAUUGAAAUUGAAUUGAUUCUUGUUUCAUUGAAUUAUUGAAUAUAGAGGAGUUGUUCCGAGUUGUAUAUUGAAAUUGAAUUGUUUCUUGUUUCAUUGAAUAUAGAGGAGUUGUUCUGUUGCAAGUUGUUCUAGUUUUGUUGUUUUAAAAUCUGAGAAAAACUAUUUAUAGAUAAUGGUGAACUUAAACAAGAAAUGGGCAUGCAGUUUGCUGAUUACUUAAUUGUGUACUCACAACACAUAGGAUUUCUCUGACACAGUUUCCAGUACAGAACUGCCACAGGAAUCUCCAGUGGAGUUGCAACCGCUCUCACGGACGUCCACAAAUCAAGUUACAAAACUGUUACAUGACUCUCUAUUGGAGUUGCAACCGCAAUUGGAUAAAAGUGAAAUUCGAAUAAUGCCAGAAAUACUAUAACCGUCCAAAGUGAUAGUGUGAAAUUAGAAUCAAAUGAUUAUGUAUAAAUCAUAUUGAUAAUAAUUAUAAAUAGUAGCUGUAUUUUUUAAAUAAACAGAUUUGAUAAGUUA